UACUUUCCAAAAUCUUCAAAAUCUUGAAUUCUUUAAUCUUCGUCAAUCCGCUUCAAUCCUUCAAGACUCCGACUCACUUCACGAAACUUGCCAAUACAAAAUCCUUAACAAUCUCCCCCUUUGGCAAUUUCGUGACAAAACUCACAAAACUCAAAAAUACAUAAAAGACUCGAAGUUCAAUUGUUAUCACCAAAACAUUGAACUCCUCACGUGUAAUCCAAAUACAAUUGAGAUUCAAAAUUACAUCAAAAACUCCUAAAACAGACUCUAUGACUUAGACGCAACUAGGAGUCUCGAAGUCUUGAUUUCCUGCAAAACAAUUCAUUCAAAAAUGAUUAGCCUUAAAUUCUUAUACCUUCUCCCCCUUUGUUCACAUCCCGAUCACAUCUCCCCCUUUGUUCUUGAACUCAUCAUCAUUCUCU
This 422-nucleotide long non-coding RNA is filed under the name Ananas comosus (pineapple). RNAcentral's name for it is "long non-coding RNA (ACOM_LNC035279)". The record is from RNAcentral. Lineage: Eukaryota; Viridiplantae; Streptophyta; Magnoliopsida; Poales; Bromeliaceae.